CAUAAUGAAAUCCAGAAUCGGGUCAUUUGGGUCUGUUGUUCUAAUGAAGCUUGGGAUGUCCUUCAAUCGGAUACUUUUCAUUCCAGAAAUGGAGUUUUCUUUUGAAGCAGACAUUGCAGACUGGGAGUAGCAUUGCUAAGACUGCGCUGAACAAGGUCUCUUUAAGGUUAAACGUGUUUCUGUUGAUUUGACAACAUACACUCUUUUCGGACAUUCAAAUAUGAGCGAUUCUAUUGUUAUGCAACAAGUCUCCGAGUAUAAACGGAAAACACCAAUCGCUGAGUCACACCGACUAGUUUCUCCUAAGAAUGCAAGGUAUGUUGUAUGUCAACAUGUUUCAAUUUUGGGUUUAACUAGGCCAAAUACAAAGCAGCAACCAGGUAGAAUUUUGAUAAAUUCUAAUUUCUGUAUCCGUGCAUGGCCUUAUGCUAAACCAAAACAUCCAAUCCACUCUCCUUUCUAUGAUCGACUUGGCACUCGUGGGACCGUUCGUUCACCCUUGAAGAAAAAGAGUAGCUGUAAUUUGGUCCAUCUGAUCUGAUAACGUCUAAGUCGUUCAUCCUUUUUCAUGUACUUGGAUUUCAUUGGAUGUAAGAUUAAAGAAAAUGUUUAGCAUGCAUGAUACAUUAUUACAAGUUCCA
Long non-coding RNA from Prunus persica (peach), 641 nucleotides. RefSeq lists it as uncharacterized. NCBI's taxonomy places the organism in Eukaryota, Viridiplantae, Streptophyta, Magnoliopsida, Rosales, Rosaceae. The transcript is spliced from 3 exons. The record is from RefSeq and is a predicted model, not a curated record.